Elaeis guineensis (African oil palm) is the source of this 1698-nucleotide non-coding RNA. The record is from RefSeq and is a predicted model, not a curated record. NCBI's taxonomy places the organism in Eukaryota, Viridiplantae, Streptophyta, Magnoliopsida, Arecales, Arecaceae.
GGAAGGCCAAUUGGAAAGUAUCGGAGACCGGGGUGACGAGAUUUCCAUUAAGACGAAAAUACCCCCGGAAAGCGACAAAUUCUCGCGUCUUGUCUCAUGGACAGCGUGGGCGUUGCCGGAAUUCUUUCAUUGGUGAGGGGCAUUUUAGUACUUCCGUUCCCUGUCGCCAUGCGAGCGCCGAUCUUUCUUAGUUCUUAGCGCUCUCUCUCUCUCUCUGGCUGAGCUCUAGAGAGAGGGGAAGGGAGAGAUUUCUCUUCCCUUUUCUCUCUCGGAUGCGAGAAAGGGCAAAAAAAAGAGGAUAAUUUCUGCAGCAAAGUGAAUCUUGGUUCCUGCCGAUGCCUGGUCUUCUUGGGAAGCCUAUGAUGCAUUUUCGAUCUGAACCACUAUUGGAUUACUGUGGGCCAAACCAAGAGUCAUCAAUAAACUAAUUCCCCCGCGCCCUGCCGCCCCCCCCUUCCCUUUUGUAAAUGUGUUCAAUUGAUUAAUAGAUUGCUAACCUUUUUUUUUUUUUGCUCUUUCUUAUUAUAACAGGGUGGAAUGAUGUUGGUAGUAAAGCAGUAUCGCUGCACACACUCAUCAACUUGUAUAUGUAUGAAAGGUCAUCUGAGUGAGGAUGCAAUUUUUCUUGUGUUUCAACACCUAAAUUGGAACCCCAGAUUGAUUGCUGUAAUGUCAUGUGUUUGCAAAUGGUUUGAUGAGAUCGCCAAGCGGGUUUUGUGGAAGGAGUUUUGCCGAACAAGGGCUCCGAAGAUGAUGCUAGAUUUGCAAUCCAGUGGAAGCCACAGUGUUGAUGGAAACUGGAAAGCACUUGGGAAGCUUCUUAUCUAUUGUUCAGGUUGCAGCAAAGGGGGUCUGUUUAAUACCGUCCAUAUUCUGGGUCACUUUGUUUACAGGAGUCGGUUUUCUAGGACUUCAGGGAAAAGUUUUCUUAUUCCACAAUGCAGAACAGAUGUGUUGUAUGUAUCAGACCCUUGUGAGCAUCUUGAUCAGGGAGAAGAGGGUGAUGUGGGCUUUUUUCGUGGUGUCUUCAAGUCAUUUUCUGUUUCAAGAGUUAGGAAGAUGCUGAUUGACAGGCAGGCAAAGUUUCAUCCCACAGAGGUGUGUCCGUACUGUAAAGCAAAGUUGUGGAGCAUGCUGCAAGCAAACAUGAUACCAAGGAGUGCUGCCAGCAGGUUAGAUGCUUAUGAUGAUUCCAUAGAGUAUUAUGUAUGCCUCAAUGGCCAUAUGCUGGGAAUAUGCACUCUCUUACCACUCUCAGACUCGGAGGAGGUGUCAGAGUUGGAGUGAUGCUUGGAAUUUGAUGCAGGUUUUCAAGUGUUGAAGAAUCUUUAUUCCUGCAUUACAUUGUGGAUCAUCUUGGCUACUGUUCAAGAAAGAUUUGGUAGAAGGGUGAUGCAGGGAUCUUCGCUCGCUAUCAUAUGUAACAGUGCAUGCAGAUCACAUAGGAGUUUAUCUUCUGGCUCUGCAAGCACUGAGAAAGCUGUUCUUUCGUCUCUCAUUCUAUUUAUUGCGUAAAUGAAAGAAUUUAGGAGUUUGAUGGGUUUGAGGAGGAAGAGAAUCCAUGGGGGCUUUAUUGGAGUCCAUGCUUGGAAACAAGGUCAGGAUAGGUGUACCAUAUUUUUUAACAGGUUAUGAGCAGGGAACAACUAAGGAGAACAAGCAAGGCGAGGUAUUCUUGCCAUGCAAGUGCUGAUCUGU